This 259-nucleotide ribosomal RNA is filed under the name Stomoxys calcitrans (stable fly). RNAcentral describes it as "partial 16S ribosomal RNA". The record is from RNAcentral. Lineage: Eukaryota; Metazoa; Arthropoda; Insecta; Diptera; Muscidae.
CGUAAGCCAGGUUGGUUUCUAUCUUUAAAAAAUUAAAAUAUUUCAGUACGAAAGGACCUAAUAUUUGAUAAAUAAUUAUUUAAUAAAUUGAAUAUUAUUAAUAUAUACUAUUUUGGCAGACUAGUGCAAUAAAUUUAGAAUUUAUUUAUGUAAUUUAUAUUACAAAUAGUACAUGUUUUAUUUAGAAAAUUUGCUAUUUAUUGUUGGAAGAUUAUUAUUAAUUAUUUUUGUUUUAGUAAGAGUAGCUUUUUGACACUUU